GAUGAACGCUGGCGGCGUGCCUAAUACAUGCAAGUCGAGCGAACAGACGAGGCGCUUGCUCCUCUGACGUUAGCGGCGGACGGGUGAGUCACACGUGUAUAACCUACUUAUAAGACUGGUAUAACUUCGGGAAACCGGAGCUAAUACCGGAUAAUAUAUUGAACCGCAUGGUUCAAUAGUGAAAUACGGCUUUGCUGUCUCUUAUCGCUGGUUCCGCGCCGCUUUAGCUAGUUGGUAAGUUAACGGCUUACCAAGGCAACGAUGCGUAACCGACCGGAGAGAGGGGUAGGCGACAUGGGAGCGGGAACGCGGACCAGACGCCUACGGGAGGGAGCAGUAGGGAAUGUGACGCAGUGGGCGAGAGCAUGGCGGAACGACGCGGCGUGAGAGGUGAAGGUCUUCGGAUCGUAAAACUCUGUUAUUAGGGGAAAACAGAUGUGUAAGUAAAUGUGCACGUCUUGACGGUACCGAAUCAGAAAGCCACGGCUAACUACGUG
This 497-nucleotide ribosomal RNA is filed under the name uncultured bacterium. RNAcentral's name for it is "partial 16S ribosomal RNA". It matches the Rfam family "Bacterial small subunit ribosomal RNA", at positions 28 to 507 of the family's 1533-position model. The record is from RNAcentral.